AGGGAAUAUUGGGCAAUGGGCGAGAGCCUGACGCAGCGACGCCGCGUGAGUGAUUAAGGCCUUCGGGUUGUAAAGCUCUGUGGGGAGAGACGAAUAAGUAGAAGCGAAUACCUUCUAUGAUGACGGUAUCUCCUUAGCAAGCACACGCUAACUCUGUGCCAGCAGCCGCGGUAAGACAGAGGGUGCAAACGUUGUUCGGAAUUACUGGGCGUAAAGCGAGUGUAGGCGGUCUGCUAAGUCGGGUGUGAAAGCCCCGGGCUCAACCCGGGAAGUGCACUCGAAACUGGCAGGCUAGAGUACUGGAGAGGUUGGUGGAAUUCUCGGUGUAGAGGUGAAAUUCGUAGAUAUCGAGAGGAACACCGGUGGCGAAGGCGGCCAACUGGACAGAUACUGACGCUGAGACUCGAAAGCGUGGGGAGCAAA
This 423-nucleotide ribosomal RNA is filed under the name uncultured bacterium. Its description in RNAcentral is "bacterial SSU rRNA". It matches the Rfam family "Bacterial small subunit ribosomal RNA", at positions 356 to 772 of the family's 1533-position model. The record is from RNAcentral.